Molecule: ribosomal RNA, 253 nt
Filed under: uncultured bacterium
Lineage: Bacteria
Description: partial 16S ribosomal RNA
Rfam family: Bacterial small subunit ribosomal RNA
Source: RNAcentral
UACGGCGGGGGCAAGCGUUGUUCGGAAUCACUGGGCGUAAAGCGCGUGUAGGCGGCCUCUUAAGUCUGGUGUGAAAGCCCGGGGCUCACCCCCGGAAGGGCACUGGAUACUGGGAGGCUAGAGUACCGGAGAGGAGGGUGGAAUUCCUGGUGUAGCGGUGAAAUGCGUAGAUAUCAGGAGGAACACCGGUGGCGUAGGCGGCCCUCUGGACGGCUACUGACGCUGAGACGCGAAAGCGUGGGGAGCAAACAGG